This 222-nucleotide long non-coding RNA is filed under the name Elaeis guineensis (African oil palm). Its description in RNAcentral is "long non-coding RNA (EGUI_LNC034770)". Lineage: Eukaryota; Viridiplantae; Streptophyta; Magnoliopsida; Arecales; Arecaceae. The record is from RNAcentral.
GGCUGCUCCUCCCUCCUUGGCGGUUCCGACUGUGACAGGGCCCUAGGCCGACCUUCUCUUCCUUCAGGUUGGCGUCGAAUAAACCUGUCGAGCCGACCUCGUCUGAUGAGCUCCUCGAUCUCAUCUCAGAGCUCAAUACAUUCCUCCAUAUCAUGGCCGUGGUCACGAUGAUAGAGGCAGAAUUUGUUCGGGUUGUACUUUUCAAGGUGCGAGCGCAUCCUC